RNAcentral lists this ribosomal RNA (298 nucleotides) under uncultured bacterium. Its description in RNAcentral is "partial 16S ribosomal RNA". It matches the Rfam family "Bacterial small subunit ribosomal RNA", at positions 334 to 623 of the family's 1533-position model. The record is from RNAcentral.
UACAUCCUACGGGGGGCAGCAGUAGGGAAUCUUCCACAAUGGGCGAAAGCCUGAUGGAGCAACGCCGCGUGGGUGAAGAAGGUCUUCGGAUCGUAAAACCCUGUUGUUAGAGAAGAAAGUGCGUGAGAGUAACUGUUCACGUUUCGACGGUAUCUAACCAGAAAGCCACGGCUAGCUACGCGCCAGCAGCCGCGGUAAUUCGUAGGUGGCAAGCGUUAUCCGGAUUUAUUGGGCGUAAAGGGAACGCAGGCGGUCUUUUAAGUCUGAUGUGAAAGCCUUGGGCUUAACGGGAGUAGUG